CCAACGGCCCUUUUCAGGGCCAUUUGUUGUCAUCUUGAAAAUGCCA
Trichinella patagoniensis is the source of this 46-nucleotide non-coding RNA. The record is from Rfam. Lineage: Eukaryota; Metazoa; Nematoda; Enoplea; Trichinellida; Trichinellidae.